Mirounga angustirostris (Northern elephant seal) is the source of this 2676-nucleotide long non-coding RNA. RefSeq lists it as uncharacterized. Lineage: Eukaryota; Metazoa; Chordata; Mammalia; Carnivora; Phocidae. The transcript is spliced from 3 exons. The record is from RefSeq and is a predicted model, not a curated record.
CGCCUUCCCGCAGCCCCAUGUGGACGUGUGCUGGUCUCCCGGCAGGUGCGUCUCAGGCCCUGAGCAUCCUGUCUUUGCGUGGCCCCAACCUUCCCAGCGGCUCCUCCCGCCCUCAAUCACCUCCGAUCUCCAGUGCACCCCACAUCCUGUUCCACUCGGGGAGCCAGACCUCCCCCAGACUCUCGGCGCUCUGACGUGCGGAGGGGGCAGAGAGAGAGACAGCGAGAGCAGGAACCCAAGCAGGGGGAGCGGGAGAGGGAGAAGCAGGCUUCCCGCUGAGCAGGGAGCCCGAUGUGGGACUCGAUCCCAGGACCCUGGGAUCAUGACCUGAGCUGAAGGCAGACUAACGACUGAGCCACCCAGGCGCCUGGGAGCAAGGUGUCUUUUGGGAGUGAUGAAAUAUUCUGCAAUUACAUAGUGGAGACGGUUGCACAACCUUAUGAAUGGCCCCAGACACACUGGAUCAUAGACGUGCAAAUGGCGAGUUCUAUGGCAAAGCUGGAGGCUGAAAGAAACGAAAACUCAAAUCCCAGCUUCUGUGCUGACCGGCACAACCUUUCCAGACAGAAUCUUAGCGUUUCUCAGAUCAGCGGCGACGCUGCGGGUCUGGCUGGGGGUGACGUCUGCUCAAGAAUCAGCAGAAGCACUGGGAUUACCCCCAGCUCCGUCCCACGGGGCGCAUGCUCGUCUACGCGGCGCCUCGGAUGCGCGGGAAAUACACGUGCUUCGGCACUGAAAGUUGCCUUGGAAGAGCUGGGAAUCUGUUCCACAGUGGAAUCGGACUAAUGGUGCUUAUUUUUCUUCGGGGCGUGUAUUUAUUUGACUGUUUCACACCACUUGUCAAUUUCUAAGCCAUUAAUAAUUUUUAUGCCUCUUUCAGAUGUGUGUAUAUAGUACAAGUGUGUUUGAUUUCCUGCGGUCUCUCUGCAUUUACACGGUGCUGAAUGAUGGUGUGUGUAACAUGCCAGUUUACCAUCGCAGCCCCAGCUGAAGUUUAAUUCUUGAGCACACACGCGUUGACCGCCUUGCAUAGUUCCCGCCUGUCUCCAUGGCGCGAGCAGCCCCCGGGUUGGGGUGUUAAUGCCGGGACCAUCAGCCGUCACGGGGACGCAGCCCCCGAUGUCUACUGCUGUUUACGGUCGCUCCCCUGGGCCAGGUUCUGAUCCCUCAGCGGAGAACGCUCGGGUUGCUCUGGGAGAGACGUACCAUUUGGGGGGUCGUCUUAGAGAAUCAGGGUGGUACUUCCUAGGGGUUGAUUGGGGACAUUUUACGAAAGCCGGGUUCUGACGGCCGGCCGGGUUUGGACUGGAAGCAAUAGAAAGAGGGAACCUUCCUUAACUGGGUGCGAGAAGCCCGGGCUGGGGCAGAAACGGGCUCUCGCUGGCCUCCUGGGAGCUGGGGCUGGACUCCCAAGGGCGCAGGCUCACGCGUCACCGGGCGCGUCCUGUGAUUUAGGAGCUGGUGGGGUGGACGGGAUCAGCUUCGAGACGCCGGUGCCCUCCCAUAUCUGCUGGCCAGUGGUCAUUCCCCUAAACAGUCUGAAGACUCUUGUGUGCCUCGUUGUAUCCGCAAACCACCUGAACCGCACUUGCAGACCUCAGCUGCCUGGGAGCAAGGCUUCAUCCUGAGCGUGGCCUGAAGUGUCUGGUACUUUGUUAGCUCUCUUUCUCAUUUAAGAGAGACAAGUGGGGUGGCCCCGACUAUAACCGAAUUAUAAACUGUCUUCCGUAGACUCUUUUUAAAAAAUGGUGGUAAAUGCCCAUGACCUAAAGGUUCCCACCUGAACCACUUCUCUGACCAUCGCCAUCCAUCUCCAGAACCUUUUCAUCUCCCCCAUAUGAAACCGUCCCUGCUAAACACUAACUCCUGGGCCCCCGGGGCCCAGCCCUGGUGCCCACCAUCUGCUUUCUGCCUAUGAACUUGACUCCAGGGGCAUCGUCAGCCCCGUUUGUCUUUCUGUGUCUGGCUGUUUCCAUCAGCUUUGUCCGUGUGUCGCAGGGCAGGAUUUCCGUUUUUCUAAGCCACACGAUGCUCAGCGUGUGCGUCCCGCUCUUUGGUAGGCUUGAGACCACAAACCCAGAUCCAUCCAGGUAUGUUGCCAGAGCCACCCCUGACGCCACCAGCUCUCCUCCACCCUCCCCUGCCCCUGACCAGUGGGACCCGGUCGAGGCCAGGCUGCCGGGUGACAGCCUGGAAGUGAAGGGGACAAGGGCCACACCGGGAUAUGGAGCCAGGGCGUCCGUCGUACCUGCCCUUCCUUUCCCCAGGAUCCAGGGAUGGGCGCCCACGUCCUCGGGUGGUGUUCCUGGUUGAGAACUACCAGAGGCCAGUAUCUGGAGGGCGACCUGCAGACUCCGGCUACAGCGGUGUGUUAUUUUGCCGGCCAGUGUUUGAAUCUCUCUCCUGCCCUGAAUGGCGCUCAGGGCUUCGGUCACGCGCCGGUUUCAUCGGUGCGUCCUGCAGAGCAUCUGCAUUCUACCACACUUGGGAUAAACGUCAAGGAUCGCUGUUACUAUUAUACCAGAUCUGAUGUUCCAAGAGCCCCCUGGAAGUUACCGUAAUGGCUCAUCCCUCCAGGUGUUCUAUACACAGCGGGCGGUUUUGCUAGAAAACUGUCGUCUUUGCACGAGAAGCGAAGUGAAGGCCUUGCAGUGAACUCUCACUAACGUACGUGCU